GAGUAACACGUGGAUAACCUACCUCAAGGUUGGGGAUAACAUUUGGAAACAGAUGCUAAUACCGAAUAAAACUUAGUAUCGCAUGAUACCAGGUUAAAAGGCGCUACGGCGUCACCUAGAGAUGGAUCCGCGGUGCAUUAGUUAGUUGGUGGGGUAAAGGCUUACCAAGACAAUGAUGCAUAGCCGAGUUGAGAGACUGAUCGGCCACAUUGGGACUGAGACACGGCCCAAACUCCUACGGGAGGCUGCAGUAGGGAAUCUUCCACAAUGGGCGAAAGCCUGAUGGAGCAACGCCGCGUGUGUGAUGAAGGCUUUCGG
This 318-nucleotide ribosomal RNA is filed under the name uncultured bacterium. RNAcentral's name for it is "bacterial SSU rRNA". It matches the Rfam family "Bacterial small subunit ribosomal RNA", at positions 108 to 421 of the family's 1533-position model. The record is from RNAcentral.